GAUGAACGCUGGCGGCGUGCCUAAUACAUGCCAGUCGAGCGAACAGACGAGGAGCUUGCUCCUCUGACGUUAGCGGCGGACGGGUGAGUAACACGUGGAUAACCUACCUAUAAGACUGGGAUAACUUCGGGAAACCGGAGCUAAUACCGGAUAAUAUAUUGAACCGCAUGGUUCAAUAGUGAAAGACGGUUUUGCUGUCACUUAUAGAUGGAUCCGCGCCGCAUUAGCUAGUUGGUAAGGUAACUGCUUUCGAAGGCAACGAUGCGUAGCCGACCUGAGAGGGAGGAUGGGCACACGGGAAGUGAGACAGGGUCCAGACUCCGACGGGAGGACGCAGUAGGGAAUCCUCCGCAAUGGGGGAAAGCUUGACGGAGCAACGCCGAGGGAGUGAUGAAGGUCUUCGGACCGGAAAACUAUGAUAUUAGGGAAGAACAAAUGUGUAAGUAACUAUGCACGUCUUGACGGUACCUAAUCAGAAAGCCACGGCUAACUACGUG
RNAcentral lists this ribosomal RNA (497 nucleotides) under uncultured bacterium. RNAcentral's name for it is "partial 16S ribosomal RNA". It matches the Rfam family "Bacterial small subunit ribosomal RNA", at positions 28 to 507 of the family's 1533-position model. The record is from RNAcentral.